UACGGGGGGGGCAAGCGUUGUUCGGAAUUACUGGGCGUAAAGGGCUCGUAGGCGGUCUGUUGCGUCGGGAGUGAAAACUCAGGGCUUAACCCUGAGCCUGCUUCCGAUACGGGCAGACUAGAGGUAUGCAGGGGAGAACGGAAUUCCUGGUGUAGCGGUGAAAUGCGCAGAUAUCAGGAGGAACACCGGUGGCGAAGGCGGGUCUCUGGGCCGAUACUGACGCUGAGGAGCGAAAGCGUGGGGAGCGAACAGG
Molecule: ribosomal RNA, 253 nt
Filed under: uncultured bacterium
Lineage: Bacteria
Description: partial 16S ribosomal RNA
Rfam family: Bacterial small subunit ribosomal RNA
Source: RNAcentral